UGGGGAAUAUUGGUCAAUGGGCGCAAGCCUGAACCAGCGACGCCGCGUGAGUGAUGAAGGCCUUCGGGUUGUAAAGCUCUGUGGGGAGGGACGAAAACGCCGGGCGCGAAUAGCUCCCGGCCUUGACGGUACCUCCUUAGCAAGCACCGGCUAACUCUGUGCCAGCAGCCGCGGUAAGACAGAGGGUGCAAACGUUGCUCGGAAUUACUGGGCGUAAAGCGCGUGUAGGCGGACGUGUAAGUCAGGUGUGAAAUCCCCGGGCUCAACCCGGGAACUGCACUUGAAACUGCGCGUCUUGAGUGCUGGAGAGGGUAGUGGAAUUCCUGGUGUAGAGGUGAAAUUCGUAGAUAUCAGGAGGAACACCGGUGGCGAAGGCGGCUACCUGGACAGUUACUGACGCUGAGACGCGAAAGCGUGGGGAGCAAACAG
RNAcentral lists this ribosomal RNA (429 nucleotides) under uncultured bacterium. Its description in RNAcentral is "bacterial SSU rRNA". It matches the Rfam family "Bacterial small subunit ribosomal RNA", at positions 355 to 775 of the family's 1533-position model. The record is from RNAcentral.